GUUAGCGAUUUCUGUAAAUUACACAGUAUUUAACUGUAAUAUGAACUGUACUUUACUGUAAAACAGUUACACAGUAUGUUACUGUAUUUUAAAAUUGCAUUAUGGGAAAUAUCCUCUUGGCGCCAUUAAAAUACAGUAUUUUUCAUUUACUGUAAAUCCAAAUACAGUAAAAAAAAAUGAGCGGGAAACCUGACCAAUGACAGAAAGGCUUUUUUUUCUGGUUGGAGAAAGAAGAAAAGGAAGACGCACACACCUCGCACCUGCAAAUAACGUUUCACCAUCAAAGUGCGAACAUAAACAGGUCUCUGUCUUCGUUUUGGCCACGUCGGUAGCAGGUCACAACAACUCUGGCAGAUGCAAAGACCAGGCUUUGACUUCUUUCUACUCCAAGGCUGAUCAUGCUUGGAGAUUCAAUUCUACACAGCAAAAAAAUGGAUGCUGGCGAUCGAAGGCAAAGUCUUCUUUCCUGUGAUUGACCUAUCAGAUAUAUCCUCUGCAUUUGCUGUUCUCUUCGGUUGCUAUUAUGUGCAAAACAUCAAGUACCAAGUGGAAGCAGCCACUACUUUGGAGUUUAU
This is a long non-coding RNA of Sinocyclocheilus grahami, 575 nucleotides long. RefSeq lists it as uncharacterized. Lineage: Eukaryota; Metazoa; Chordata; Actinopteri; Cypriniformes; Cyprinidae. The record is from RefSeq and is a predicted model, not a curated record. The transcript is spliced from 4 exons.